GCAUCAAUGGGGUAGUGGUAACCUGGGUCGUUGCCAUCGUUGAAUCUUCGUAUUGAUUCGACCCGCCGGGGGUUCGAUUCCCUCUUGAUGCA
RNAcentral lists this transfer RNA (92 nucleotides) under Pterulicium gracile. Its description in RNAcentral is "Pterula gracilis tRNA". It matches the Rfam family "tRNA". Rfam says of the family: Transfer RNA (tRNA) molecules are approximately 80 nucleotides in length. The record is from Rfam by way of RNAcentral. Lineage: Eukaryota; Fungi; Basidiomycota; Agaricomycetes; Agaricales; Pterulaceae.